Molecule: ribosomal RNA, 249 nt
Filed under: uncultured bacterium
Lineage: Bacteria
Description: partial 16S ribosomal RNA
Rfam family: Bacterial small subunit ribosomal RNA
Source: RNAcentral
GGCGGCGAGCGGCGAACGGGUGAGUAAUGCUUCGGAAUCUGCCCAGUAGUGGGGAACAACCAGUCGAAAGACUGGCUAAUACCGCAUACGACCUACGGGUGAAAGCGGGGGACCGAAAGGCCUCGCGCUAUUGGAGCGGCCGAUGGCUGAUUAGCUAGUUGGUGGGGUAAAGGCCUACCAAGGCGACGAUCCGUAGCUGGUUUGAGAGGACGACCAGCCACACUGGGACUGAGACACGGCCCAGACUCC